AUUGAACGCUGGCGGCAUGCCUUACACAUGCAAGUCGAACGGUAACAGGUCUUCGGAUGCUGACGAGUGGCGAACGGGUGAGUAAUACAUCGGAACGUGCCUAGUAGUGGGGGAUAACUACUCGAAAGAGUGGCUAAUACCGCAUGAGAGCUACGGAUGAAAGCAGGGGAUCGCAAGACCUUGUGCUACUAGAGCGGCCGAUGGCAGAUUAGGUAGUUGGUGGGAUAAAGGCUUACCAGGCCGACGAUCUGUAGCUGGUCUGAGAGGACGAUCAGCCACACUGGGACUGAGACACGGCCCAGACUCCUACGGGAGGCAGCAGUGGGGAAUUUUGGACAAUGGGCGCAAGCCUGAUCCAGCAAUGCCGCGUGCAGGAUGAAGGCCUUCGGGUUGUAAACUGCUUUUGUACGGAACGGAAAGCCCUGGGUUAAUACCCUGGGGUCAUGACGGUACCGUAAGAAUAAGCACCGGCUAACUACGUGCCAGCCGCCGCAGUAA
RNAcentral lists this ribosomal RNA (498 nucleotides) under uncultured bacterium. RNAcentral describes it as "partial 16S ribosomal RNA". It matches the Rfam family "Bacterial small subunit ribosomal RNA", at positions 30 to 523 of the family's 1533-position model. The record is from RNAcentral.